UGAAACCAACCGACCCUCUAAGCAAUAAUCCCUAAUUCUAAACUAAUGUCCAAGGUCCUGAGACAAAUUUCUAAAUCACUACGCCUUGCUAAUAGUUGAUAACAUACAUGCUUGGCUCUUAGGAAGAGCUAAGUCAAUUGAAACUUGAAUGUGUACACUGUUGGACAGGGAUGCAGAAAACCAGAUGACAUAAACGAAUGCAAGGAGCAAGAUCAGUUAAUUUCCUUGAUGUAUCAUGCUCAAUAAUCAAAGCCACCAAAUGCAAUCCCGCUAUGAGACUUGGAGUGGCUUGCAAUGUGAGUGUUGGCCACUCUAGUCCCGAAUCUGAGAGAGCAUCUUAUUCUGGAGAAAAAUAUUUGGUAGCGGUAAGCUUAAUUUAUCCUUCCUGACGAUAUCCGCUAUCUGAGAUGGGGGAUUGGAUGGGGAUUGGAUGUCCAUGACUUGGGUAAUUGAACAUGGUGUUUUAGGGCUGCUAAGGAAUGUGCAAGCUUGUUUCCUUCUCGAGGAGCCCAUGUAAGGCCACAGUUUGGAUUCGUUUUCUGUGCCAUUUUUAUGUCUUGGAUUAUUGGGUCUAUUUUCCAAAUUGUACUUCCUGAUUUGAUGGUCUGGGUGAGUAAUUGACAAUCUGUUUCAAUAAUGGCCUUUUGAAUGUCAAGAUUUUUAGCCAUAAUAACUACUUCCCUUACUGCUUGUGCUUUUGCUGACAAGCUCGAGCUUGCUUGAAUCUCUAAUGUUGUUCCACCCAACACCUUCUCUCUAUGGUCUCUGAUCACCACUGCUGUUGCACCUGACUUGGUUCCACUUGAGAAUGAAGCAUCAGUGUUUAGCUUGAUCCAGUUCUGUGGUGGAGGCCUCCAUAUUACAGAUAUUGCAGAUGUCGCAGCAGCUACCAGUUGUCCAUGGUGAUUAUGAAUAGCCACACCUACACCUCUGUUGUGUCUGUCAACCACUGCAGCAUCAACAUUCAUCUUGAAAAAUCCCAGCAAUGGCGCUGUCCAACUAGAGCAGCUCUGGCUUCUCGACGACAGAGAAUGCAGCGCCGUAGGAUAGGGUGCAUUCACGGUGCUAAAUUUUGCAUAGUCCCGCUGCGCGUUCUGAACCAUUAAUUCAGGAGACCUAUGUUCAUCUUCAAGAAGUAAUUUGUUUCUUCUAAUCCAAAAGGCAUGAAGACAGCAAAGCAAUAAACUCGUCUUUACUCUUUCGAUAUUGUUGAUGAUGUAUUGGAACCAUUGUUGUAGGGAGGAUGAUGGCUCAAUUUCUGAUCGGAUUGUGAAUGGGUAGCGAACUAGAAUCGCUUAGUCCAUUCGCACUCUUUGAACAGGUUAAGCUUCGUGGGAAGUGAUUGUUGAAGCAGUAGCCAAAUGAAGUUUAAGGUCCAAGGUGGUGCUUUUGUCUUCCAAUGAAGGGCUCCUAAUGUGGUGGGGUCACUGAUGCGUGGCCAUUCGGCUGGAUUUGAUGGAGUUUCUGCAGCACGAGAAUCAAAGGAGAUGGCAGCGAGGAGCGACACGUACGCGUGACUGACGCGUACGCGUGAUUUGAAGAUUUGCAAAGCGACGCGUCCACGUGACUGACGCGUCUGCGUGACUCGCGAAAAGACCAUCGACACGUACGCGUGACCGACGCGUACGCGUGACAUGCGCAACGUGCAAAAAAAUGCAGAAAGACGCUGGGGGCGAUUUCUGGGCUGUUUUGACCCAGUUUCCAACCCAGAAAACACAGAUUAGAAGCUGCAGAAUGUACAAAUCAAGUGGUCCCCACCCAUCAGCUGAAGACUUGUUAAUUAAUUCGAAUUUAAAUUCAAAUUUGAUUUUUAAAUAGGAAAAAAUAAUAUUUUAAUUUUAAUUUUAGAAAUUUAAUUUUUAAAUUAUUAGGAUUAAUUAUAAAAGGGGAUUCAGAUCCAUCAGAUUGGAAAAGUACAUUUUUACCUGAAUCCUUAUUUUCUACUUUGAACCAUGAGCAACUAAUCCUCCAUUGUUAAGGUUAGGAGCUCUGUCUAUUUCUAUGGAUUGAUU
Long non-coding RNA from Arachis ipaensis, 2012 nucleotides. RefSeq lists it as uncharacterized. Lineage: Eukaryota; Viridiplantae; Streptophyta; Magnoliopsida; Fabales; Fabaceae. The record is from RefSeq and is a predicted model, not a curated record.